AAGUCGUAACAAGGUUUCCGUAGGUGAACCUGCGGAAGGAUCAUUAUCAACGUUAUCCACGUAUAAACCAAUAUCGUGAACUGUCACUUUUUCUUUAUUAACUACCUCGAAAAUCCUUUGUGAUUUGACAGAGUUAAUUCUAAUGAUUAUCGGAACUGAUUAUAUGGAAAACAACCGUUCUUCUUUUGGGAAGGGCCUGUUUUCUUUCAUUUUACGAAAUUAUUCGAACAACUCUUAGCAACGGAUAUCUUGGUUCUC
RNAcentral lists this unclassified non-coding RNA (258 nucleotides) under fungal sp. RNAcentral's name for it is "partial internal transcribed spacer region". The stretch from base 1 to 46 matches the Rfam family "Eukaryotic small subunit ribosomal RNA", at positions 1786 to 1831 of the family's 1831-position model. The record is from RNAcentral. Lineage: Eukaryota; Fungi.